CGAUGAAGGACGCGGUAAUCUGCGAUAAGCCUCGGGGAGUUGGUAAACGAGCUGUGAUCCGAGGGUGUCCGAAUGGGGAAACCUCGCUGCGUGUUGUGCGUAGUGACCACAGGGUGAAUGUAUAGCCUUGUUGGGGGUGACGUGGGGAAGUGAAACAUCUCAGUACCCAUAGGAAGAGAAAAUAAUAAUGAUUCUGUUAGUAGUGGCGAGCGAACGCGGAAGAGCCUAAACCGUGUGUGUGUCAAGCGUGCUGGUUUUGCAUGCGCGGUGUUGUGGGGCCAAUCGUCUCAGUUCAGCAUAGCUGGGGCAUGGAUGCAGUGUGGUAGGUGAACAGGUUGGGAAGCCUGACCGGAGUGGGUGAGAGUCCCGUAGCUGAAACUGUGCUGGUCUGUGUGUGUUGGUGCCCGAGUAGCACGGUACUCGUGGAAUGUCGUGUGAAUCUGCCAGGACCACCUGGUAAGGCUAAAUACUCUUGGUGACCGAUAGCGGAUAGUACCGUGAGGGAAUGGUGAAAAGUACCCCGGGAGGGGAGUGAAAGAGUACCUGAAACCGUGUGCCUACAAUCCGUCAGAGCCCUGUGGGGUGAUGGCGUGCCUUUUGAAGAAUGAGCCUGCGAGUUAGUGGCAUGUGGCGAGGUUAACCCGUGUGGGGAAGCCGCAGCGAAAGCGAGUCCGAAUAGGGCGGUCAGUCGUGUGUCCUAGACCCGAAGCGGAGUGAUCUAGCCAUGGACAGGGUGAAGCGCCGGUAAGACGGCGUGGAGGCCCGAACCCACCUAGGUUGAAAACUGGGGGGAUGAUCUGUGGUUAGGGGUGAAAGGCCAAUCAAACUCUGUGAUAGCUGGUUCUCCCCGAAAUGCAUUUAGGUGCAGCGUCACGUGGUGCUUUGCGGAGGUAGAGCGACUGGAUGACUGAUGGGCCCGCGAGGGUUACUGACGUCAGCUAAACUCCGAAUGCCGUGAAGUCAGCGUGGCAGUGAGACUGCGGGGGAUAAGCUUCGUAGUCGAGAGGGAAACAGCCCAGACCAUCAACUAAGGUCCCUAAGCGUGUGCUCAGUGGAAAAGGAUGUGGAGUUGCAGUGACAACCAGGAGGUUGGCUUAGAAGCAGCCACCCUUGAAAGAGUGCGUAAUAGCUCACUGGUCAAGUGAUUCCGCGCCGAUAAUGUAGCGGGGCUUAAGCACACCACCGAAGUUGUGGCAAAAACAUAUUCAACCGAUAACUCGGGUGUUUUUGGGUAGGGGAGCGUCGUGUGGCCGGUGAAGCUGCGAAGUGAUUCAGUGGUGGAGGCUAUACGAGUGAGAAUGCAGGCAUGAGUAGCGAAAGACGGGUGAGAAACCCGUCCGCCGAAUGACCAAGGGUUCCAGGGCUAGGUUAAUCCGCCCUGGGUUAGUCGGGACCUAAGGCGAGGCCGACAGGCGUAGUCGAUGGACAACGGGUUGAUAUUCCCGUACCAGUGAAGAACCGUCCAUACCGAAGAAUCUGAUACUAACCAGUGCCACACCCGCACUGCACUCCCUUUGGGAGUGUGUGUGGUGUGUGGUGGUGGGACCUGAGGGUUUUGUAGGUAAGCGUGUUAACAGGUGUGACGCAGGAAGGUAGCCGGGCCGUGCGAUGGUUGUCGCGGUCUAAGGUUGUAGGCCGUGUGGUUGGCAAAUCCGCCACACAUACAGGCUGAGAGCUGAUGGGCGCCCCACAAUUGGUGGGGUGAUCCGGUGAUCCUCUGCUGCCAAGAAAAGCAUCGACGUGAGGUUCAAACUGCCCGUACCCUAAACCGACUCAGGUGGUCAGGUAGAGAAUACCAAGGCGAUCGAGAUAAUCGUGGUUAAGGAACUCGGCAAAAUGCCCCCGUAACUUUGGAAGAAGGGGGACCACCCCGGUGAACAGCCCUUUGCGGUUGGAUGUGCUGGUGGUGGUCGCAGAGGCCAGAGAGAAGCGACUGUUUACUAAAAACACAGGUCCGUGCGAAGACGUAAGUCGAUGUAUACGGACUGACGCCUGCCCGGUGCUGGAAGGUUAAGAGGAUCUGUUAGAACCCUCGGGUUCGAAGCGGAGAAUUUAAGCCCCAGUAAACGGCGGUGGUAACUAUAACCAUCCUAAGGUAGCGAAAUUCCUUGUCGGGUAAGUUCCGACCUGCACGAAUGGCGUAACGACUUCUCUGCUGUCUCAACCGCGAACUCGGCGAAAUUGCAUUACGAGUAAAGAUGCUCGUUACGCGCAGCAGGACGGAAAGACCCCGAGACCUUCACUAUAGUUUGGUAUUGGUGUUCGGUGUGGCUUGUGUAGGAUAGGUGGGAGACUGUGAAGCAUGCACGCCAGUGUGUGUGGAGUCAUUGGUGAAAUACCACUCUGGCCAUAGUGGAUUCCUGAACUUCGGACCCUGAUCGGGUCCAGGGACAGUGCCUGAUGGGUAGUUUAACUGGGGCGGUUGCCUCCCAAAGAGUAACGGAGGCGCCCAAAGGUUCCCUCAGCCUGGUUGGCAAUCAGGUGGUGAGUGUAAGUGCACAAGGGAGCUUGACUGUGAGACGGACGUGUCGAGCAGGAGCGAAAGCUGGGACUAGUGACCCGGCCAUGGCUUGUGGAAGCGUGGUCGCUCAACGGAUAAAAGGUACCUCGGGGAUAACAGGCUGAUCUUGCCCAAGAGUCCAUAUCGACGGCAUGGUUUGGCACCUCGAUGUCGGCUCGUCGCAUCCUGGGGCUGGAGUCGGUCCCAAGGGUUGGGCUGUUCGCCCAUUAAAGCGGUACGCGAGCUGGGUUUAGAACGUCGUGAGACAGUUCGGUCCCUAUCCGCUGCGUGCGUAGGAAAUCUGAGAAGGGCUGUCCUUAGUACGAGAGGACCGGGACGGACGAACCUCUGGUGUGCCAGUUGUACCGCCAGGUGCAUGGCUGGUUAGCUACGUUCGGGAAGGAUAACCGCUGAAAGCAUCUAAGCGGGAAGCCUGCUUCAAGAUGAGAUUUCCCCUGAGGUGUCCAGUAGACGACUGGGUUGAUAGGCCAGAUGUGGAAGCACAGCAAUGUGCGCAGCUGACUGGUACUAAUACACCAAUCACUCACCC
This 3050-nucleotide ribosomal RNA is filed under the name Brevibacterium ravenspurgense 5401308 = CCUG 53855. RNAcentral's name for it is "bacterial LSU rRNA". It matches the Rfam family "Bacterial large subunit ribosomal RNA". The record is from RNAcentral. Lineage: Bacteria; Bacillati; Actinomycetota; Actinomycetes; Micrococcales; Brevibacteriaceae.